AUAACGAUGCGGGGCUCUUUGAGUGUCGCAAUUGGAAUGAGUACUAUCCAAACCACACACCGAGGAACAAGUGGAGGGCAAGUCUGGUGCCAGCAGCCGCGGUAAUUCCAGCUCCACUAGCGUACAUUAAAGUUGUUGCAGUUAAAAAGCUCGUAGUUGGAAGUGUGGGGGACACAUCUGGGGGUGCUUUUUAUAGUGCUGCACAGAUGGAUGUCUCCCAUCAGGGUCCUCACGGACCCAGUCACUUUGAAAAAAUUAGAGUGUUCAAAGCAGGCUUACACGCCCGAAUAGAUAUCAUGGAAUGACAGAACAGGACCGCUUGUGGGCCAAUUUCUGUGGGUUUUACACCACCGGUAAUGAUUAAGAGGGACGGAGUCGGGGGCAUCAGUAUUCAAAAGUCAGAGGUGAAAUUCUUGGAUUUUUUGAAGACUAACUACUGCGAAAGCAUUUGCCAAGGACGUUUUCAUUAAUCAAGAACGAAAGUUAGGGGAUCGAAGAUGAUCAGAUACCGUCGUAGUCUUAACCGUAAACUAUGCCGACUGGGGAUGGGCUGGCACACAUUACAAACAUGGCAGCCCGCACCCACCGAGAAAUCAAAGUCUUUGGGUUCCGGGGGGAGUAUGGUCGCAAGGCUGAAACUUAAAGGAAUUGACGGAAGGGCACCACCAGGAGUGGAGCCUGCGGCUUAAUUUGACUCAACACGGGGAAACUCACCAGGUCCAGACGCAAUAAGGAUUGACGGAUUGAGAGCUUCUUCUUGAUUUUGCGGGUGGUGGUGCAUGGCCGUUCUUAGUUGGUGGAGUGAUUUGUCUGCUUAAUUGCGAUAACGAACGAGACCUUGAGCGGGUGUUGGGGAGCUCUAUAUUUCUUAUGUAGAGGCGUUCUGAUACCUGCGACAACUGGCGCAAGCCAGCGGAAGCGAGGCAAUAACAGGUCUGUGAUGCCCUUAGACGUUCUGGGCCGCACGCGCGCUACACUGACGCAGCCAGCGAGUAUAUUUUGAUGUCCUUGGCCGAGAGGUCUGGGGAAACUUGUGAAACUGCGUCGUGCUGGGGAUAGAGCAUUGUAAUUGUUGCUCUUGAACGAGGAAUUCCUAGUAAGCGCAAGUCAUCAGCUUGCGUUGAUUACGUCCCUGCCCUUUGUACACACCGCCCGUCGCUACUACCGAUUGAAUGGCUUAGUGAGGCUCCGGGAGAUGCGGGUGCC
RNAcentral lists this ribosomal RNA (1206 nucleotides) under Phaffomyces orbus. RNAcentral's name for it is "SSU rRNA". It matches the Rfam family "Eukaryotic small subunit ribosomal RNA", at positions 477 to 1726 of the family's 1831-position model. The record is from RNAcentral. Lineage: Eukaryota; Fungi; Ascomycota; Saccharomycetes; Phaffomycetales; Phaffomycetaceae.